Molecule: ribosomal RNA, 482 nt
Filed under: uncultured bacterium
Lineage: Bacteria
Description: partial 16S ribosomal RNA
Rfam family: Bacterial small subunit ribosomal RNA
Source: RNAcentral
GACGAACGCUGGAGGCGUGCUUAACACAUGCAAGUCGAACGAUGAAAUGGAGCUUGCUCCAUGGAUUAGUGGCGAACGGGUGAGUAACACGUGAAUAACCUGCCCUUAAUUUUGGAAUAACCCAGGGAAACCUGGGCUCAUACCGGAUAAGUAAACCUGUGGCAUCACAUGGUUUUGGAAAGUUUUUCGAUUAAGGAUGGAUUCGCGGCCUAUCAGCUUGUUGGUGAGGUAAUGGCUCACCAAGGCGACGACGGGUAGCCGGCCUGGGAGGGGGAAAGGCCACACGGGGACGGAGACACGGCCCAGACUCCUACGGGAGGCAGCAGUGGGGAAUAUUGCGCAAUGGACGAAAGUCUGACGCAGCGACGCCUCGUGAGGGACGAAGGUCUUCGGAUUGUAAACCUCUUUCAGCAGGGACGAAGCGAAAGUGACGGUACCUGCAGAAGAAGCACCGGCUAACUAUGUGCCAGCCGCCGCCGUAA